UGACAACACAGCCACACAAAUUUUCCUAUGUACACAUAAGACAUGGGGUUUAUUCUGUGGUGUGCCUCAAAUAAAUGAACCAGAUGCAGUAAGGGAGGAUGCUUUUGCUAAUUUUCAGAUUAUCUUCAUACAUGUAUGCUUCCUGUGCUAUUAUCAAUCAAAUUGAAGUUCUACAAAGAUUUUUCAGACAUUGCACAAGACCUAUCAUCAGGGAAGAAA
RNAcentral lists this long non-coding RNA (219 nucleotides) under Cyanistes caeruleus (blue tit). RNAcentral's name for it is "lncRNA (ENSCCEG00000010417.1)". Lineage: Eukaryota; Metazoa; Chordata; Aves; Passeriformes; Paridae. The record is from RNAcentral.